AUUGAACGCUGGCGGCAGGCCUAACACAUGCAAGUCGAGCGGAUGAAGGGAGCUUGCUCCUGGAUUCAGCGGCGGACGGGUGAGUAAUGCCUAGGAAUCUGCCUGGUAGUGGGGGAUAACGUCCGGAAACGGGCGCUAAUACCGCAUACGUCCUGAGGGAGCAAGUGGGGGAUCUUCGGACCUCACGCUCUCAGAUGAGCCUAGGUCGGAUUAGCUAGUUGGUGGGGUAAAGGCCUACCAAGGCGACGAUCCGUAACUGGUCUGAGAGGAUGAUCAGUCACACUGGAACUGAGACAAGGUCCAGACUCCUACGGGAGGCAGCAGUGGGGAAUAUUGGACAAUGAGCGAAAGCCUGAUCCAGCCAUGCCGCGUGUGUGAAGAAGGUCUUCGGAUUGUAAAGCACUUUAAGUUGGGAGGAAGGGCAGUAAGUUAAUACCUUGCUGUUUUGACGUUACCAACAGAAUAAGCACCGGCUAACUUCGUG
This 484-nucleotide ribosomal RNA is filed under the name uncultured bacterium. RNAcentral describes it as "partial 16S ribosomal RNA". It matches the Rfam family "Bacterial small subunit ribosomal RNA", at positions 30 to 507 of the family's 1533-position model. The record is from RNAcentral.